RNAcentral lists this ribosomal RNA (292 nucleotides) under uncultured bacterium. RNAcentral describes it as "partial 16S ribosomal RNA". The record is from RNAcentral.
GGACUACUGGGGUAUCUAAUCCCGUUCGCUCCCCCAGCUUUCGCGCCUCAGCGUCAAGAGUGCCCCAGGAGACCGCCUUCGCCACUGGUGUUCCUACCGAUAUCUACGCAUUUCACCGCUACACCGGUAAUUCCAUCUCCCCCUAGCACCUUCAAGACAGACAGUAUCGACCGACCCUCCGGAGUUAAGCUCCGGGCUUUCACAGCCGACUUGUCCCCCCGCCUACGCGCGCUUUACGCCCAGUAACUUCGGACAACGCUGGCCCCCUACGUAUUACCGCGGCUGCUGGCAC